Molecule: ribosomal RNA, 283 nt
Filed under: uncultured prokaryote
Description: partial 16S ribosomal RNA
Rfam family: Bacterial small subunit ribosomal RNA
Source: RNAcentral
UACGUAGGGGGCUAGCGUUAUCCGGAAUUACUGGGCGUAAAGGGUGCGUAGGUGGUUUCUUAAGUCAGAGGUGAAAGGCUACGGCUCAACCGUAGUAAGCCUUUGAAACUGGGAAACUUGAGUGCAGGAGAGGAGAGUGGAAUUCCUAGUGUAGCGGUGAAAUGCGUAGAUAUUGGGAAGAACACCGGUGGCGAAGGCGGCUUUCUGGACUGUAACUGACACUGAGGCACGAAAGCGUGGGGAGCAAACAGGAUUAGAUACCCUGGUAGUCCCUGAGCGGGCU